AUUGAACGCUGGCGGCAUGCCUUACACAUGCAAGUCGAACGGCAGCAUGAUCUAGCUUGCUAGAUUGAUGGCGAGUGGCGAACGGGUGAGUAAUACAUCGGAACGUGCCCUGUAGUGGGGGAUAACUAGUCGAAAGAUUAGCUAAUACCGCAUACGACCUGAGGGUGAGAGUGGGGGACCGCAAGGCCUCAUGCUAUAGGAGCGGCCGAUGUCUGAUUAGCUAGUUGGUGGGGUAAAGGCCCACCAAGGCGACGAUCAGUAGCUGGUCUGAGAGGACGAUCAGCCACACUGGGACUGAGACACGGCCCAGACUCCUACGGGAGGCAGCAGUGGGGAAUUUUGGACAAUGGGCGAAAGCCUGAUCCAGCAAUGCCGCGUGUGUGAAGAAGGCCUUCGGGUUGUAAAGCACUUUUGUCCGGAAAGAAAUGGCUCUGGUUAAUACCUGGGGUCGAUGACGGUACCGGAAGAAUAAGGACCGGCUAACUACGUGCCAGCAGCCGCGGUAAUACGUAGGGUCCAAGCGUUAAUCGGAAUUACUGGGCGUAAAGCGCGCGCAGGCGGUUGUGCAAGACCGAUGUGAAAUCCCCGAGCUUAACUUGGGAAUUGCAUUGGUGACUGCACGGCUAGAGUGUGUCAGAGGGGGGUAGAAUUCCACGUGUAGCAGUGAAAUGCGUAGAGAUGUGGAGGAAUACCGAUGGCGAAGGCAGCCCCCUGGGAUAACACUGACGCUCAUGCACGAAAGCGUGGGGAGCAAACAGGAUUAGAUACCCUGGUAGUCCACGCCCUAAACGAUGUCAACUAGUUGUUGGGGAUUCAUUUCCUUAGUAACGUAGCUAACGCGUGAAGUUGACCGCCUGGGGAGUACGGUCGCAAGAUUAAAACUCAAAGGAAUUGACGGGGACCCGCACAAGCGGUGGAUGAUGUGGAUUAAUUCGAUGCAACGCGAAAAACCUUACCUACCCUUGACAUGCCACUAACGAAGCAGAGAUGCAUUAGGUGCUCGAAAGAGAAAGUGGACACAGGUGCUGCAUGGCUGUCGUCAGCUCGUGUCGUGAGAUGUUGGGUUAAGUCCCGCAACGAGCGCAACCCUUGUCUCUAGUUGCUACGAAAGGGCACUCUAGAGAGACUGCCGGUGACAAACCGGAGGAAGGUGGGGAUGACGUCAAGUCCUCAUGGCCCUUAUGGGUAGGGCUUCACACGUCAUACAAUGGUGCAUACAGAGGGUUGCCAAGCCGCGAGGUGGAGCUAAUCCCAGAAAAUGCAUCGUAGUCCGGAUCGUAGUCUGCAACUCGACUACGUGAAGCUGGAAUCGCUAGUAAUCGCGGAUCAGCAUGCCGCGGUGAAUAAGUUCCCGGGUCU
RNAcentral lists this ribosomal RNA (1359 nucleotides) under uncultured bacterium. RNAcentral describes it as "bacterial SSU rRNA". It matches the Rfam family "Bacterial small subunit ribosomal RNA", at positions 28 to 1381 of the family's 1533-position model. The record is from RNAcentral.